RNAcentral lists this ribosomal RNA (503 nucleotides) under uncultured bacterium. RNAcentral's name for it is "bacterial SSU rRNA". It matches the Rfam family "Bacterial small subunit ribosomal RNA", at positions 94 to 630 of the family's 1533-position model. The record is from RNAcentral.
AGUGGCGACCGGGUGAGUAACACGUGACUAACCUACCUUCGAGUGGGGGAUAACCUCGGGAAACCGGGGCUAAUACCGCAUAAUGCCUUCGGGUUAAAGGAGCAAUUCGCUUGAAGAGGGGGUCGCGGCCGAUUAGGUUGUUGGCGGGGUAACGGCCCACCAAGCCAGUGAUCGGUAGCCGGCCUGAGAGGGCGCACGGCCACACUGGAACUGAAACACGGUCCAGACUCCUACGGGAGGCAGCAGUGGGGAAUUUUGCGCAAUGGGGGAAACCCUGACGCAGCAACGCCGCGUGGAGGAUGAAGUCCCUUGGGACGUAAACUCCUUUCGACCGGGACGAUGAUGACGGUACCGGUGGAAGAAGCCCCGGCUAACUUCGUGCCAGCAGCCGCGGUAAUACGAGGGGGGCAAGCGUUGUUCGGAAUUAUUGGGCGUAAAGGGCGCGUAGCGGUGCGGUAAGUCACCUGUGAAACCUCUAGGCUUAACCUAGAGCCUGCAGGCGA